This 265-nucleotide long non-coding RNA is filed under the name Olea europaea (common olive). Its description in RNAcentral is "long non-coding RNA (OEUR_LNC015028)". The record is from RNAcentral. Lineage: Eukaryota; Viridiplantae; Streptophyta; Magnoliopsida; Lamiales; Oleaceae.
UUUUUUAUAUCAAUGUAUAUAUUUUGGAUAUAUAUCUGUAAUUUUGUUUGUUUUCAAGCAAUUCUUGUAGCUCAGUUUAAUGGAACACCAUUGAGUAAGUGAGAUAACUUCAGUUCAACUCUCUACAAGAGCAAUCCUUUAUGCAAUUAUUUUAGUGCUAUAUUUUUCACCAUUUUAAAGCGUAGCUAUGGGUAAUAUGGAAACCUUAACUACUGUGGCUUUUGGUAGCCAUUAAUAUCAAAUGUAACAUAAAUAUAUAUGUUCA